This 497-nucleotide ribosomal RNA is filed under the name uncultured bacterium. Its description in RNAcentral is "partial 16S ribosomal RNA". It matches the Rfam family "Bacterial small subunit ribosomal RNA", at positions 28 to 507 of the family's 1533-position model. The record is from RNAcentral.
GAUGAACGCUGUCGGCGUGCCUAAUACAUGCAAGUCGAGCGAACAGACGAGGAGCUUGCUCCUCUGACGUUAGCGGCGGACGGGUGAGUAACACGUGGAUAACCUACCUAUAAGACUGGGAUAACUUCGGGAAACCGGAGCUAGUACCGGAUAAUAUAUUGAACCGCAUGGUUCAAUAGUGAAAGACGGUUUUGCUGUCACUUAUAGAUGGAUCCGCGCCGCAUUAGCUAGUUGGUAAGGUAACGGCUUACCAAGGCAACGAUGCGUAGCCGACCUGAGAGGGUGAUCGGCCACACUGGAACUGAGACACGGUCCAGACUCCUACGGGAGGCAGCAGUAGGGAAUCUUCCGCAAUGGGCGAAAGCCUGACGGAGCAACGCCGCGUGAGUGAUGAAGGUCUUCGGAUCGUAAAACUCUGUUAUUAGGGAAGAACAAAUGUGUAAGUAACUAUGCACGUCUUGACGGUACCUAAUCAGAAAGCCACGGCUAACUACGUG